Molecule: long non-coding RNA, 9321 nt
Filed under: Gossypium raimondii (Peruvian cotton)
Lineage: Eukaryota; Viridiplantae; Streptophyta; Magnoliopsida; Malvales; Malvaceae
Description: long non-coding RNA (GRAI_LNC010182)
Rfam family: MIR7502 microRNA precursor family (bases 4612-4754)
Source: RNAcentral
AGUAGUUGCCCAAAGAUGUAGUUAGAAGUGAAAGCGCACUACAUAAACUCCGCAUGGCAUCAGGGGAUUGAUCAUAGAAGAACUCAAGCUGUCCGAUAAAUGUGCAAACCUCUGCAGCACCCAGCAAGAAAUAUUGAGGUAUUUGCCAAAGAAUAUUAAUGGGUACGGCAACUUGUUUAUCAACCAAAUCUAGCUCUUUUGCGAGCUGCAAUCUCUUGAUCUCCACCAAAGCUGCGGCUGACAUGCAUAGGACUGAAAUAAAGAGACCAAUUCCCAUACGUUGCAACUCUGAGAAGCCACGCUCUUUACGUGUGAACUUUCUUGCAAUUGGAACAAUGAUCUUAUCAUAGAUGGGAACCCAAAAAAUAACACUGAUAACAUCAAAAGACGAGAGAGAAGCAGGAGGAAUAGUGAAAGAACCGAUUUUUGUGUCCAUCAUCAUCCCUUGUUCCACAAACAUAGUUGACAUUUGGGCAUAUACGGCAGAGAACACAAUUCCAGUAGCCCAUAUGGGAAACAUGCGGAUCAAGAUUUUCAAUUCCUCCACUUGUGUUACAGUGCAAAGCCUCCAAGGGUUUGAGAAGUCCCCACUUUUGGUUUCGGCAUCAGUGACUAUGGCAGCGUUAUCUAGGCACCUACAACAAGAUGCUCCCAAUUUAACCAUCUUUCUAUACAUAAAUAUGCAUGGGUAAACACUAGUGUGUCUAAUAAAAUAACUAGAUAAUUACACGUGAUGUGUCACGUGUACAUCAUGUUGACGUUCAAGGAUCAAUUUUAGUAAAACGGAUGGAAAAGAAGGAGCUGGCUCCUAGUACAAGGACCUCUAUGGUACUUAUACCCAAUUCCUUGUACUACAUUAAUUUUGCCUAAAGUGAUAAAGAAUUCUCAAUUUCAUAGGCUUUCACACAAAUGAGACACAGAGAUCGAUCAUUCAAAACUUAAGAGAAUUAAUUAAGAAAACUUACUUCAACUCUUCACUGUGCUCCAGUUUCCGACUUCCUUCUAUGGCAGAGUGGUUGUCACCAGUUUCAUAUAGGAGACUACUAUCUUCAGGAACCUUGAGGUUCCGUUUAUGAAAUGCUGCAACCAUAACCUGGCACAUUCUUGUAAUAGGGCUUCCUCCAGGUCGUUGAAAUCUAUAAAGAGAUGUACCUGAGAAAAAACUUCCGAUUGCAAGGCCCAUAAAUAAUGCUGGAAUGCCAAAUCCGAGACCCCAUCCAGCAUUGUCUUGAAUCCACACUAAAAGACUGCUUGAGAUCAAAGCGCCAAUGUUGAUGGAAAAAUAGAACCAAUUGAAAAAGGACCCUUUCUUCACCCUUUCUUUGGGAUCAGUAUCAUCAAACUGAUCGGCCCCAAAAGAUGAAACACACGGUUUGAUUCCACCCGUCCCUAAUGCAAUCAGAUAAAGCCCAAAGAAAAAUACAACAUACUGAGCUGGAGUAGCUGAGGGACAAAUAGAACCCACACAUUCAGCAGGUUUCAGUGCAGGAAUUGAUGCCGAGAGUGUUAAUGUACACAUUCCCUAUAUCAAAUACUAAAUGUGUUACUCAAUGCAUCAAAAAGCGAAAUCAAACUGUAUAAUUAAGUUGCUCGCUUUACCUUAAUAUAAGUACUAGAAUUCAUUAGUCAAUAAUAUGAUUAAAAUGAUGACAAAUUGAUGUCCUCACACCUCACAUAGCCAAAUAUGUUAUUACUCUAUGAAACCUUCUUUAAAUCUUCGAAAAGGAGUCAAAGUGUUUCCUCUAUGAUUUAAACACAAAAGAUACUCACUAAAACUACUAACAACAAAAGAGGAGAACCAUGCAUGAAUUUAAAUCGCAUGUGAAGGACCAUGUAAAGAAAAUCAGGGAUUAAAAGUACCAUGAAAGCCCUUGUGCUAGGAGCUGGAUUGCAUUUUGCCCCCUCUACUUAAAAAAGGGACAAAUAAUUCCUAAACCCUAUUUGUUAACAUGAGGUACAAGUGGCACGGCAUGUCUCACUAUUUAGUUAUUCUGUCAGCCAUGCUAGUGUUUAACAUAGAAAUGAAUGAAAUUUUGAACAGAAAUAACCACUUUGAUUUUUUAUCUAAUGUACAAGGACUAAAUUAUCCAUUUUUUAGUAGAGGGGGAAAAAUGUAAUUUGACACCUAGUAUAGGGACCUCAAUAUUAUUUUUAUCAAAAUCAGGGUUAAUGGCAUAAUGAAAACAAACAACAGCCAAAGACUCUACUGCAGUUGAAUGCAAGAUCAACUUCAUGAUAAGUACUUAAAAAAACUAAUUAAAGCAUAAAACAAUAACAUCUAAAGCAAAAAAUAAAAAUAGUAGUUAAGAGUAAAUUAUAUUACAAUGAAGUAAAUAGUGGAGAAAGCAGCAAUUGUCCAAUAUCUUCCCCAAUAUGCAUCUGCUAAAACAGCUCCAAUGAGAGGUGUAACGUAACAAGUUCCUUGCCAAGUAGUCACAUUCCUUGCAGCUGAUGCAUUUCCUUCAUGUAGUUUCUUGGUCAAGUAACUUACAAGAUUAGUUGCUAUCCCAUAAUAAGCCAAUCUCUCACAACAUUCAUUACCUAUAAUUCCAUAUAAGAAAAUUGCAGAAAUAAGAUAAGCUUUACUCGAAUAAAAGCAAAACUCAUUUAAAUGAAGAGAAAAUAGAUAAAUUUAUAAUAAUUCACCCAAAAUGAAAGGGCAUGCUUUCCAAUUUCCAGUAUUUUGCUUCAAAACAGGAUUCCCAUUAAAGUCAACAGAGCCAUCCCCAGUGUAAAGCCCACUGUUUUCAGCCUAGAAAUACAAAAUAUUGAAACAUCAAAUAACAUAACCUCCAAGUUAAAGAAUUUUAACAAGAAAAAACAACAAACCCAGAAUUUUUUUCAGUGUUAAAAGGUGUCUUUGAACAAAUUAUCAAAAUCUUAUGACCACCAAAAAUAAAAGAUCAAAGGGGGAAAAUUACCCGAUCAAGUUCAGCUUCCAACAGCGACCUCUCUUCAUCGACAGAUCCCAUGAUUGUAUUGCAAUUGAACCAGUCAAAGACUACAGAUUCAAAAUCCCCAAAUUGUAGGGCAAAGAAAUAUUAUAAUUGGUGAUGAAAACGCUGGGUAUUAUUUAUUUAUUUGUGAGCCUUAUAAAAUCGUUAGAUACUUAAUGUCAAGCGUCCUUUGGAAAUUGCUAUUUUUUUUUUUUGGGUAAAAAGGAAAGAUGAAUUACUGCAUAAAACAACCAUUUCGUGUAAUAAAUCUAUUAGGAAAUUGGAAUCUUUGAACAAAAGAAAAUAUAUAGAAAAAGAAGUACUUUUAGAAUCCUUUAGCUUAUUAGAUAUUAAGAGAAGCUAAAGCACUGGAAUGUUGGGGGGAAUCCUAGCACGUUUCCCUAUCUAUAUAAGGCAGCAAAUAGACCUCAUCCUAAGUCGGGCUAUUUUUUUAAGUUUGAAAGCCUAUUCAAAAAAUAAUAAGGUUUAGGUUUAAAAUAUAAAUCUAAAAAUAAGUUUAGACAAAAAAAAAAACAUCUUUUUUUAAAUAGGUCGAGUUUAGGUUAAAAUUUUUUUAGUCGGUCUAGCCCGAAUUUACCUAAUUUUUUUCAUUAUUGUUUUGUUGUUAUUUUUUUAUUAUACUGCUAAUAUUUUGUUAUUAUUAUUUGAAUAUUAUAUAACUCUUAUUUUAUUGUUAAUUUUGCUAUUAUUUUAGAAGUAUUUACUUGUUAAGUUGUAAUUAUCUUAGAGUUAUUUAAGUAUAAUUUUUUAUUAUAUUUUCAAUUUGUUGCGAAAUAUUUAUUUGAAUAAUUUUAGUAUAUUUGAUAUAUUAUAUUUUAUAUAAAAUAUUUUUUAAAAUUGUUUUUAUAUAAAAUAUAAUAUUAAAAAUGUUAAUAUGGGAUGGGUCGGACUCAAGUUUAGUAUUUUUUAUAUGGGUCAAGCUCGAGUAGAAUUAUAGGCCCAUUUUUCGAGUUAAGCCAGACCGACCCUAGAAAACUGGUCCAGAAUUUUGUAUUGGCCCAACCCAUUAUCAGGUCUAGUGAUAAGGAUUUUUAAUUCACAUAUAGGUCUUUAAAGGUCGGGUCGAGUUUGGGUUGGGCUUAAGCAUGAUAUUAAUAUAUUUUAUAUUUACUUAAAUUCGGUUUAACUAGAAAUAUGGACCUAAAAUUUUACUUAAACCUAUUGUAAAUGGUUAAUCCAAACCUAUUUUAGGCUUGUACAUAUUUACAAUUUUUUAAAAUAUUUAUUUAUAUUAUUUCAAUUUAAUAUUUAAUAAUAAUAUUUUAUGUAUUAAAAUUUUAUAUAUAAACAUCUUAAAUUUUUUUAAUGUUUGCAUUAUAGUAUUAUUAUAUAUUACAAUAGAUUUAAUUUUUAUGUGUUAUAAAUUAUAUAAUAUAUACAAAUAAUAUAAUACAUCCAUCCUCAACACAUGAAAUACGUAUGAUAUUAAAAAAAGAUUAAAUUGUAAGUUAAUUAAAAUUUAAAUACAUAAAUACAUCGGAUAAAAAAUAUUAAAUUAAUACAUUAAUCUUAAAUUGGUGCCGAGCUAAUUUGUGAUAUGAAAUCAAUCAACACCAUUGUUAAUAAAUACAACUAAUGGAAGUAAUAAAGUUUGCAUAAUAAAAUUAAAAUGUAUGAAAAUAUCAAAAUAAAAAAGAGUAAAUUGGUUCUUUUCUAUUAAAAUUUUUAUAUAUUUAUAUUGUUAAAAACUAAUGUGACUGACGGAAUAAACAAAUAAUUAAAUUUGGUAUGCCACGUGUAGCUCAUGUUAACAUAUAGAAACCAAUUUUAAAAAUAAAAAUGAAUAAGUUGUUAACAGAAAGACUAAUUGUAUAUAAAUUACUUAGACCAUUUUUUAAAUAGAAAAGAUAAAAUGCUUUUACAAUCAUGAAAACAAGGAAGUCAAAGCAUUUUAAAUACAUUUCCUUGCUCUCUUUCCAUUUGAUCUUUCAGAAUAUUUCUUAGAACUGGUUAAAUUAGUUGUACAAAUCUUUGCUUUUAGAGAAUGAACAUAAAAUCAAUUCAAGCGUAUAUGUGUGAACAAAUCAAAGCAUCCAACCACAAGAAUUUUCUUUCACAUAAACCUCAAUUAGUUAAUUAAAGAAGUUUGGAACAGUACCUUGAUCUCUCCUUUCAACUUGCUUGAAAUCCCGCUUAAGCUCCUUCUAUUGCUUAGAUUUUUGAAGCUCAAAGCUGUAAAGCAUAAACAGAGAAAUUCGAAACUGAUUUGAAUUUUUUUUGAAACUGAGAAAGCGUAAACAGAAAUUUAGAGAUGGGCGUUGAAGUCACCUCGGGCUGCGCGAAGGAGAUGAGAUUGGGUGUUUGAAUUGUGAAUAUAGUUGCCGGUAGAUCUGAUAAUGGGCUAUGGGGUCGGAUUUGGGUCGGAUUAAUGUAAAUUUUUAGAUUUAUUUUUUAAGUUCAUGUCCGGCUUAAUUUGGCCUGAAAUUAAAUUUAAAAUUUUGUCUAAAUUUAACUUUGAUUAAAAAGGUUAAGUUCGAGCUGUAAUCGUCUAUAUUAAAUUUUUUAGAUUAAUUUGUUCUAUAAAGAAAAUUUUAAAAAUACAAUGUAUUAGACUUAAAACAUUAAAAUGAAAUGUUUUUCAAUAAAUUGAAAAUACAUUAAAAAUUAUAUAUAUUUAAAUAACUCUAAAAUAAUUACAACUUAGCAAGUAAAUGACUUUAAAAUAAUAACAAAAUUAAUAAUAAAAUAAGAACUUUACAAUAUUCAAAUAAUAGGAACAACAGUGAAAUGACAACAAAAUAAUUGAUUCGGGUUGGGUCAAGCUGGCCCAAGCCAAAAAAUCCUACUUGAGGCCCAUCCCAUUUAACAAAUUGACCUUAUUUUUGUUUAAAUUUAUUUUUCGAGCCUAUAUUUUUGUCCAAACCCUCCUCCUUUUCACGCAAGCGAGUGACUUGACCCAUGAUUAGGUCUAGUUGCGUUGGCAAGAGAUCAAAUUAAUUUUUGGGUAAAUUACACAAGAAGUCACUCAAUUAUGGUGAACUUUCUUUUUUAUCACUCAACUAUUAAAAAUUUAAAAUUGGUCACCCAACUAAUUAGAUUUGUCUAUUUUAGUUCUUUUCCAUUUAGUUCCAUUAAAUGUUUGAUUGAAAAAUGAGGUAGCAAUUUGAAAUUGUAUAAUAACAAAUAUAACUCCUAAUAUUUAUAUAUUGUCUCAAUCUAGUAAUGUCAUCUUCAUCGAUUUUCCAGUUCCCCUGGAAGAACUUUACGCUACACAAUUAUCACAACUCCAAGAAAUGGGUUUCUACGAUACACAAGAGAAUAUCAGAGCAUUAAGAGCUACUGCCGGAAAUGUCCAUGCUGCAGUCGGGAGUUUUCUGGGAAAUUCUGGGCAGUAGUAACUCCUUGAAACUUCAUGUUCUUUUUUUUCUUUUUUAAAUUUGACCAAGAAAAACUGUCUCAUGUAAGAUUAGUUGAUUUGGGUUGGUGCCUUAGCAAACCACAGAUUUAUGUUGCAUAUACAUUGUUGAUUCCUUGUUUUUGCCGUGUUUAAUAAGCAAGUAAACACGAUAAAUAUAUAUACCCGAGAACUUGUUGAUAUUUAGGCUUUUUAUGCAUACCUACCUCGGAUUUCUCCAUAUUUGGCACUUCCUUAUGUACAUACAUUUCGAGUUACUGUUCUCUUUUUUUUUAAGAACUUUUGAGUUACUGAAUCUGAUUCAAUUCGAUUCGAGUUGAUAUAAAAUAGUCCGAAAAAUUUGAGCUCAAAAACCUCUUUAAACAAACCAUACACCAGAAAAACAAAGCAAGCCAUUUUCAAAAGCACAGAAUUUCUAUCAAAAUUUUACAUUAUGAAGAAAUGAGAAGGUAUAUUGGUUGUUAAAAUGUAGAUAACAACCACAAAAUAAAAUGUAUAUUUUCACAUGAUUUUAUAGGACAAAUCUGUCAACAAAACACUACUAAGCUUCUAGCUUGGAUGUAGUUGUUAAGAAUGUAAAAAGUGCCCAACUCUUUUUAUAUAAAAAAGUAAGCAAAAACAAGAAAAAGCCUUUCAAAAGCCACUUUGAGUUGUUCCUAUAUACAUACACACACCAUGUUAGCUUUUUUGGGGUAUGCAAUGGAGCAAGGUAUUGAUAAGCAUGUUGAUCUACAGGGUUCAUCUGCAAUGAGGUUGGUCCCAAUGGCUACUUCAAUUCAUAUCUUAUAUAUGUAAACCCAAAAUGUAUAUAUAUAUUUUGGAUGAUUGGCAAAAUCACAGUUGUAACCGGUGGUGCAAGAGGGAUUGGAGCUGCCACAGCUAAAACUUUUUGUUGAAAAUGGGGCUUAUGUUGUUAUUGCUGAUAUAUUGGACGAACCAGGGACUAUGCUUGCCGACUCCAUAGGAGCUUGCUACAUUCAUUGUGAUGUACCCAAGGAAAGUAAUGCCGAAUCAGCUAUCCAACUUGCCAUCACAUGGAAAGGCAAACUAGACAUACUGUUUAGCAAUGCUGGCAUUGGAGGCAUUGCAAGAAGCAUAACCAGCCUUGACAUGGAGCAAGUGAAACAUCUGAUCUUAAUCAAUCUACUCGGUAAAGUACAUGCAAUCAAGCAUGCUGCACGAGCCAUGUUGAGAUGCAGUACAAAAGGUUCCAUCAUAUGUAAGUCGAGUUCCACAGGUAUCAUUGGAGGGCUAGCGUCUCACCCUUACUCUUUGUCGAAACCUGGUAUCAUCAGACUAAUGUGAACAGCAGCAUGCAAGUUAGGCGUGCAUGGGAUUCAUGUGAACUGCAUUUCUCCUCUUGCUGUCCCUACAGAUAUGCUCGUUAGUGGUUAUAGAAUUUUCAGGGGAAUGAAACAAUUCCCGAACAAGUGAAGACACUAGUCGGUGAAGAAGGGAUUUUAUUACGUGGGAAAGCUGCAACUGUUGAAGAUGUGGCCCAAACUGCAGUGUUCCUCGCCUCAGAUGACAACGGAUUCAUAACAGCGCAUGAUCUCGUUAUUGAUGGCGGAUAUACUUCUGCUAUUAGUUCAGAGUUUCAUCUGCAAGUAGUAAAGAAUUAGGACAAGAAACAAAAUAAACCAAGGACAAACUUACCUGAUAUGGAUUUUGGAGCUUUUAUUGCUGAAAACAUCUUCAAAUCAAACCAAAAUAGUUGUACUAAAUCGAAAAUAUUAUCAAAUAUUGAGAAUCAAUACAGAAAGCAAAGAUUAUUACUUUAAAGGGUUUCAUCCAACAGGAUGCAAACAGCUUAGUCCAACAUGGAAGGAUGGCAUAUAAUUGAAAACCAUGUUGUAUACAUGUACAAUAUGUGAGCAUCAGCUAAAAACAAUAAAAGUACCAUAGAUGCUCUUGCAUUAAGAGUUUUGCAUUUUACUCCCUUUACUAAAAAAAAUAGACAAAUUAACCUUCGUAAAAUAAAUUAAAGCACAAAUUGAUGAUUCUGUUAAAAAAUUCAUUAAUUUCUACAGUUUAACUAAUCUCUGUAUAUCAGCACAUGGCAGCCAUGUGUAACUGUUGUGUUAUUCUACAAGGCAUACCAAUUUUUAAUAGUAGAAAUGGAUGAAAUUUUUAACAAAAAAGACCUAUUUGUUUUUUGAUCUAACGUACAGAGACUAAUUUUUCCGUUUUCCGGGAGCAAAAUGCAAUCUAACUAGUAGGCCUCCAUAAUACUUUUACCACUAGAAACCGAAUAUAAUCCAAUAAGAUACAAGACGACAAUUGUUUCUCAAAGUGGAAGGCUGUCCUAGUAUUGAAAUGCAUGUAUUUUUUAUCUUUAAUAACAUCUUAGCUUAAGAAGGAACUUCAAGAAGCCUUCUUUUGCUUGUACUUGGCAGCACAUUGGGUAUAUAUCAACAUGUUUAAGAAGCCGAGACCGGCCAAGAGCCAGAAGAAAUAGUCGAGAUGACCCUCAUUAAGGUUGUCCGGUAUCCAACCAAUCUCGCCACCCUUUGUUGUGAAGUAAAUUACAAGGGUCAAAAUAAAAGAACUCAAGUAGUUGCCCAAAGAUAUAGUUAGAAGUGAAAGCGCACUACAUAAACUCCGCAUGGCAUCAGGGGAUUGAUCAUAGAAGAACUCAAGCUGUCCUAUAAAUGUGCAAACCUCUGCAGCACCGAACAAGAAAUAUUGAGGUAUUUGCCAAAGAAUAUUAAUGGGUACGGCGACUUGUUUAUCAACCAAAUCUAGCUCUUUUGCGAGCUGCAAUCUCUUGAUCUCCACCAAAGCUGCGGCUGACAUGCAUAGGACUGAAAUAAAGAGACCAAUUCCCAUACGUUGCAACUCUGAGAAGCCACGCUCUUUACGUGUGAACUUUCUUGCAAUUGGAACAAUUAUCUUAUCAUAGAUGGGAACCCAAAAAAUAACACUGAUAAUAUCAAAGACGAGAGAGAAGCAGGAGGAAUAGUGAAAGAACCGAUUUUUGUGUCCAUCAUCAUCCCUUGUUCCACAAAC